CAUAGACUGACCAGGUGAAUUCAGGUGAAAGCUAUAAUCCCUUAUUGAUGUCACCUGUUAAAUCCACUUCAAUCAGUGUAGAUGAAGGGGAGGAGACAUGUUAAAGAAGGAUUUUUAAGCCUUGAGACAUGGAUUGUGUGCCAUUCAGAGGGUGAAUGGGCAAGAUAAAAUAUUUCAGUACCUUUGAACAGGGUAUGGUAGUAGGUGCCAAGCGCACCGGUUUGAAUGUGUCAAGAACUGCAACGCUGCCGGGUUUUUCACACUCAACAGUUUCCUGUGUGUAUCAACAAUGGUCCACCACCCAAAGGCCAUCCAGCCAACUGGACACAACUGUGGGAAGCAUUGGAGUCGACAUGGACCAGCAUCCCUGUGGAACGCUGGACACCCCGUAGAGUCCAUGCUCUGAUGAAUUGAGGCUGUUAUGAGGGCAAAAGGGGGUGCAACUCAAUAUUAGGAAGGUGUUCCUAAUGUUUUGUACUUUCAGAGUCUAUUGGGACUAUUGAUUAAACUUGAAUGUAGGGCUGUCUGUAAUCCUAUUGGUUAAAUGUGUAGUAGAGUCUGUAAUCCUAUUGGUUAAAUGUGUAGUAGAGUCUGUAAUCCCAUUGGUUAAAGUCUGUAAUCCUGUUGGUUAAAUGUGUAGUAGUAGAGUCUGUAAUCCCAUUGGUUAAAUGUGUAGUAGUAGAGUCUGUAAUCCCAUUGGUUAAACGUGUAGUAGAGUCUGUAAUCCCAUUGGUUAAACGUGUAGUAGAGUCUGUAAUCCCAUUGGUUAAACGUGUAGUAGUAGAGUCUGUAAUCCCAUUGCUUAAACGUGUAGUAGUAGAGUCUGUAAUCCCAUUGGUUAAACAUGUAGUAGUAGAGUCUGUAAUCCCAUUGGUUAAACAUGUAGUAGUAGAGUCUGUAAUCCCAUUGGUUAAACGUGUAGUAGUAGAGUCUGUAAUCCCAUUGGUUAAAUGUGUAGUAGAGUCUUCUGUAAUCCCAUUGGUUAAAUGUGUAGUAGAGUCUGUAAUCCUAUUGGUUAAACGUGUAGUAGUAGAGUCUGUAAUCAUGGCCUCUGCUAUCUCAGUGCUGUGACUGUCAAAGAAUAAAACCCUG
This 1092-nucleotide long non-coding RNA is filed under the name Salmo salar (Atlantic salmon). RNAcentral describes it as "lncRNA (ENSSSAG00000102200.1)". The record is from RNAcentral. Lineage: Eukaryota; Metazoa; Chordata; Actinopteri; Salmoniformes; Salmonidae.